Oreochromis aureus is the source of this 1868-nucleotide long non-coding RNA. RefSeq lists it as uncharacterized. The record is from RefSeq and is a predicted model, not a curated record. The transcript has 7 exons. Lineage: Eukaryota; Metazoa; Chordata; Actinopteri; Cichliformes; Cichlidae.
GACGGGCUGUCUAGGAUGUCCAGGACCGGUGUUUGUAAGGGAGGAUGCCUCGCACCGGCUCCACAGAGAGUGAUGCUUACUGAGGGAUGCAGGAGAGCGCCACACAGGCGAGACAGACACCGGAGGCUGAGCUCUGUAUCAUGGCCGUCUGCUUAAAGGGAUGCUGUCUGCUAUCCAGUUAUGGCUGAGAUCCUCUUGUUCCUCUGCCUCAUCUAUAUCUAUCCCUGCAGCUCCUGCCCAUCUUCACCUUCCAUGACUUCUUCGUGAUGGCAUCAUAAUCUCUGCCAGAGUGGUCUCAUGUAUGCAUUGCAAGGCGGCUGCAUGAUCAAGCCUGUGAACUCUACAUCUGAAGGAAGGAUUCUGUUUCUGAUCAUAUCCCUAUUGAAGUCCAUCCAUUUGCCGAACAUGGAGGUGUUGACGCACUCGCGCUUGCACUCACCGGGACCAUGAAUAAUUCCAAGGAACCAAAGGAAGAGAGAGAAAAAAAGAUACAGCCAUCACUCAUAUCACGCAGCUGCAGUCAGCCUGCACAGUGAUGCUCUAAAGCCAUUAGUGAGUCCUAGCACCGAUAAUGAAGCCACAGAGGUGGUCUGAGCCAGUAUGGCAUUGGCGCUGGAACACGGGAGGAGGGUAGAUUAGGAUAAUUACCUAGCCAUGGUGGAGCAAUGGAAAAAAAACAUCUCUGACUUCCUGCAGGCCUUGAACAGCAAAGGAACACAGUUCAAUCAGGUGUUCUCAACAUCCCGCUCUUAUGUAUGUAUGUGUUUAUUUGUUGUUUGCGAGGCUGUGAUUUAGGUCUCUCACACAUACUGUAAGGACAUCCUAAAUAUCCACGCUCACAGAGACUUUGAAGAGCCUAUGAGGUCAGGUUUUAAAUUAUGGUCUGAACCCACACCAAGCUUUCUCCCUCCACUCCUGUAAAUCCAUUUUCCACACAAUGCAUUUCAAAUCAAAGCGGCGUCACCAUAACAUGCCUUAGGAAACAUUAAGCCAUAGUGCGUUACUUUCAUGUAUGAUAGCAUAGCCUCUGUAUGCUUUGAUGUGCUCACGUUUUUUUUUAAAUGCUUUAUUAAUAAUAACACAUUGGCUCCUUCUCACACCACCAUCAGCUUCUGAUGCACCUUUCUCUCCUCCUGAACAACAUCCCUCACUCUUUCCAUGCCUCAGGUGCGUCAUCCCUCCCCAGCCCCUGAGCCGUGUUUUAGGAUUGGCCCGUUUGUGUUUGGGAAGGAGAUUAGAAGGAAUGACAUGGGCCUUGAGAUGAAGAGAGUUACAAAGACCUAUCAGAGGGCAGAGAGUACAGAGUGCAGAAACACCAUUGGCUAGUGAGGAAAUCAGACAUGUCUUCAUUUCUCCCAGCCAUCCUCGCUGAGUGUCUUGCUUUCAUUUCCUCACCCGAGGAGGGAAGCAUAGGGGGGUGGGUGAGGAUCAGGAUUUGAGUUUCUGUUUGUGAGUGUAAGUGUGCGUGGAAAUGUGUGUUUGCUUGCAUGUUGUGUGCAGUAAACAUAGAAAUACAGAGGGAUGAGCAUGUAGACACUGAUAGCACUCACCUCCUCCAAAGCUGGCCAAAAUACAAAGCAGCCUGCGCAUUCCUAGUGUUGUCCUAGCUGAACACUAUGAAUGGGAUGCCUGAUUCAUAGACAUGCAAGCUUAUCUCCUAAUAAAUUGCUGCAGCUUUAUCACUGGAUGUUUUACAUCUGUGUUUUAAUGGCAAAAGUAUCCCAAAUCACACAACUGCUGUUGAGUAUUUGCUGAUAUUUUCCUUCUGGCAAAUUCAAUAUAAUGCCUGCAAUUUACUGGAUCACUUAGCAGUUUGUCACAAUAACAUGUGUACUCCUGCACACAAACAUCUGCUGAUUUAAUUUUCU